CCCAGAGGAAAGGCUGCUGUGGGUGCCGUGGUGUGAAGCAGAUGCAGUGAGAGGGGCUGGCUGCUCCUCCGAAGCCAAAUGAUGUAACUCCCGUGAAGCCCUGCAAGAUGUUGGCAGGAGGAGCCCAGUGACAACUCCAACUGUCAACUUCCAGCUUGCUGUACCCAAAUAAUUGAGCCCAGGUUUGCAGGGAGAGCCUGCAGACUAAACCAAAAAUAGGACAACUGGAGUUCUCUGGAGAGUGUUGGGGCAGAGCCAGCAGCAAAUCCAGAGGUUGCUCAGCUCCAGCCAC
RNAcentral lists this long non-coding RNA (292 nucleotides) under Taeniopygia guttata (zebra finch). RNAcentral describes it as "lncRNA (ENSTGUG00000027477.1)". The record is from RNAcentral. Lineage: Eukaryota; Metazoa; Chordata; Aves; Passeriformes; Estrildidae.